GUGGGGAAUAUUGGACAAUGGGCGAAAGCCUGAUCCAGCCAUGCCGCGUGUGUGAAGAAGGUCUUCGGAUUGUAAAGCACUUUAAGUUGGGAGGAAGGGCAGUAAGUUAAUACCUUGCUGUUUUGACGUUACCGACAGAAUAAGCACCGGCUAACUUCGUGCCAGCAGCCGCGGUAAUACGAAGGGUGCAAGCGUUAAUCGGAAUUACUGGGCGUAACGCGCGCGUAGGUGGUUUUGUAAGUUGGAGGUGAAAUCCCCGGGCUCAACCUGGGAACUGCCUCCAAAACUGCAUGACUAGAGUACGGUAGAGGGUAGUGGAAUUUCCUGUGUAGCGGUGAAAUGCGUAGAUAUAGGAAGGAACACCAGUGGCGAAGGCGACUACCUGGACUGAUACUGACACUGAGGUGCGAAAGCGUGGGGAGCAAACAGGAUUAGAAACCCCGGUAGUCC
RNAcentral lists this ribosomal RNA (450 nucleotides) under uncultured bacterium. RNAcentral's name for it is "partial 16S ribosomal RNA". It matches the Rfam family "Bacterial small subunit ribosomal RNA", at positions 354 to 796 of the family's 1533-position model. The record is from RNAcentral.